AUGCUUACUUCGGCAGCACAGAUACUAAAACCAGAAUGAUACAGAGCAGAUUAGUAUGGCCCCUGUGCAAGGAUGACAGGGAAAUUUGUGAAGCAUUCCAUAUUUUU
This 107-nucleotide small nuclear RNA is filed under the name Zalophus californianus (California sea lion). RNAcentral also lists the same sequence under 1 other name. Lineage: Eukaryota; Metazoa; Chordata; Mammalia; Carnivora; Otariidae. The record is from RNAcentral.